Molecule: ribosomal RNA, 460 nt
Filed under: uncultured bacterium
Lineage: Bacteria
Description: partial 16S ribosomal RNA
Rfam family: Bacterial small subunit ribosomal RNA
Source: RNAcentral
ACUACGGGAGGCAGCAGUGAGGAAUAUUGGUCAAUGGCCGGAAGGCUGAACCAGCCAUGCCGCGUGAAGGUCAGUGCCCUAUGGGCGUUAAACUUCUUUUGUGCGGGAGCAAUAAUGGUCACGUGUGGCCAGACGAGAGUACCGUACGCAUAAGCAUCGGCUAACUCCGUGCCAGCAGCCGCGGUAAUUCGGGGGAUGCAAGCGUUAUCCGGAUUUAUUGGGUUUAAAGGGUGCGUAGGCUGUGAGGGAAGGCAUGGGUGAAAUGCCCCGGCGCAACGGGGUGAAGUGCCAUUGAUACUGCCUUGCUGGAAUGCGGAUGCCGUGGGAGGAAUGUGUGGUGUAGCGGUGAAAUGCAUAGAUAUCACACAGAACACCGAUUGCGAAGGCAUCUCACGAAUCCGCGAUUGACGCUGAUGCACGAAAGCGUGGGUAUCAAACAGGAUUAGAUACCCCUGUAGUC